This 4598-nucleotide long non-coding RNA is filed under the name Homo sapiens (human). RNAcentral describes it as "HSALNT0295167". The record is from RNAcentral. Lineage: Eukaryota; Metazoa; Chordata; Mammalia; Primates; Hominidae.
AUUGUGCCAUCUAGAAAGGGCAGAGAGGAGGAAUAGAGUGCUCUGCGUCUUGAAAUAUAAACAUGCACAUAGCCACAUGCUUUGAUUCUGUUGUCACUGUGUACUUACUGCUAGGAAGAGGGCAUGUUUGUGUAUUUUUAUGCUAAUUAUUAUCCAAGUUGUUAAUGAUUUACGCUUUCAGAACCAUAUAAAGAUUUUUUUCCUUUCAGAUAUAAACUAUCUUGCAUUGUUCUUCUGAUCAUAUGAGGGAUAAAUUUGCCUAAAUAUUCUUCAGACCAUAAUAGUAUGUCCAUAUAAAUGCCAGUAGCAAGAGUAGAAUCAACCACAACUGCCUUAGUAAUUAUUUAAAGCAUGUCUGCCUAUAAGUAAUUGGCAUUUUAUAUAAUCAAGAAUCUUUGAUAUAAUAAUCUCUCAACUAUUUGAAACACGGCUCACAUGUAUUAAUUUUUUAAGCAAAUAUAUAUAUAAUAUCAGUGUAUAUGAAACUGAAUUUUGGACUUUAGAACAGCUUCUUAGAAUCCUGACUUAAAUGUCUACAGUAAUAGUUGGCUUAAAAAAAUUUAGCACACUGUCACUAUGAUGAAAAAAAUUACUAUAAAAUAUUUAAAAAUUUUUUCCACCCUAACAUUUAGAAUAUUCUCACAUUUGUGGUUAAAACCUAUUGUGAUUGUUCUUAGAAUUUAGAUAAAAAAUGUCCCAGAAAGAUUGAAGAGAAGCACUUUAGUCAAUUUUUAGUUGUUGAAGCAUGAAGAAAUGGCAUUUCAUUGACAUUUUAAAAAUUAUUCAGAUUCCCUCUUUGAAUUCAAGAAUUUCAAAGAUAUCUUAUUUUAAAAUACCAAAAUAGGAAUAGAAUAUGAAGGGCUGGUUAUGAGUAAUAUGAUACAAUUUUAUGAGAUGAUGAGAUUACAAUAACAAUACCUCCUCUCAUAGAAUAGCCAGCAAGUCUCCACUAAAUAACAGUGCCUUGAUUUUAUAGAUGUUUCAUCAUGGAUAUUGAGUUAAUGUGAACCAUUUGUAGACACAGGAGUUUAUUAAAGACUUAUAUAAUAUCUUUCAAGUAUUUAGAAUAGUGUUGAAAUUAAGCCUGCAUCCCCACGAUUUUCAGCGGUGCUGAUGCCUAAUAAACUCAACCCCUUGCAUGCCAAAAUUGGCUUAAAGCCCAUCUGUUACCCAAGCUACACUUCAAGCAUCGAGGUUCAAAAAUGUGAUUUUGAAUAUGCAAGAGUUUGAGGAAUUCACUACUCACACUUUCUUGAACAGUCUAUCCAAGUGCAUCAAGCAAAAUGUGAGUAAAGAAAUUUUGAGCAAAGGAUUGAUAGUAAUGUUGAAUACAUUUAAUAGUAGAUCAAAGAUUAAAAGGUGAAAGUGAGGGUGAGAAGAGUGUAUGAAUGCUUUGUGUUCUGACAAAGAGAAUGUAGCACCCAGGUCCUACCUGCUUGGAUGCAUUGCCAGUGCCCACGGUAGGCCAUUUUAUCCAGGUUUUUAGGUAUUGUCUUAUUUUGUUUGUUUUUUUUCUUUUCAGGAGUCUUAGUCCAAGACCAAUAACUCCGUAACUGGUAGAUUUGGAAGACUUUAAUAGUGCUUAACAUUUUGUACAUAGCUUUAUAACAGUUUUCUUUUUCUUUUUUUCUGAGAGAUUCUUUUCAAUAUACCCCAUCAUGGUUGAACUCAAAAAUCAUUGCUUAUUUAAAAUCUACAACUGCUGACGUUUUGUAACGUUCGCAUUCCAGAUACAACAGAGAAAUGCAUAAUGUCCAGUCAAUUUAUUAAAGUUCCAAAGUCGGUCGCGCGCAGUGGCUCACGCCUGUAAUCUCAACACUUCGGGAGGCCGAGGCGUGUGGAUCACGAGUAUGUUUCCAGUCUCAAUAGAAAUCGAUGCCAAUCCAGAAAUACAAGCAUUAUUCUAAUACUUCUCACACAUUACUGCAGGAGUGAGGACACAGCGAAAGUGAGACAAGGAAAAGAGAACAAAAUAAAACAGGAAAGACAGAAAAGCCAAUACCACACGUGUUAAGAGUUUCAAGGAAAAUAUGUUUGGAGUUCCUGGCAUAGAGAAUGUCACAAAGACAUGUUUUCAAUAGUAGUGCUAUCCCGAGCGCAGAGAAGACCCAAAGAAAGCCCAAGUGGCUGCUGGAACAAAAUCAGACACCGUGCCACCUGUCCACACUCCUUGGCUCUGCCAUCAUGCUGAAGAUCGCUUUAAAGGACUGGCUUCCCUCCCCCCAAAAUUAAAAGAGCACAGACUGAGAAACUGAAUGUGGGAGACAGCAGUGGAUUAUGCUGUUCUCAGGGGUCACCUCAGGUUUGGAAGCAUUCUUUCAAAUUAACCCAUCUCAGGCCAUCUGCAGAGAAGAAAGGUGGUACCUAACUUUUUUUCUUGUCGGCAUUUGGUAGGGGUGUUUUAUUGACCAAAUAUGUUCCCACAACCUCGUUUUUUGUGACUAACUAAAUAUAGUAGAGUUUUAAAUUUUAUCAUCAAAAUCUAUAGACAAUUUUUGAUGAAAAUAGACUCCAUCUCUAUGUCCUGCUUUUCUUCUUCUUAUUAAUUACAUUGCUGUAUAAAAGAACAAGACUUCAGCAUCAAGAAUAUCUUGUCUCUUGGCAUUGAAUUUAUACAAGGUGCUCUUUCUUUAAUGCUGUCUCAAAGGACAUAUUUUUACUCAUUAAAAAGGAAGAUCGGAAUCUAGUUGUAUGCACUGCUCCAACAUAUUAAUAAUUAAAAUUAGGAGGUAAAUGUGGUCAAAGCUAUAGAAAGACUGAGAUGUCAUUUACAUCGAUUACUCUAUAGCACUCUACAAACAGAAAUUGUUAAAUAAUAGUUUAUAUAAAUAUUUUGUAGCAUUUCAAAUAUUUGAGUGCUUGAAGUUUCUCCUCUUUUAUAGUUCAGAUUAUCAAUUUGAAGACUUACUCCGCUAGUUAAUAUGUUUUUAGUCUCGUUUGAGUAUUAUAUAAAAGCAAUUUUCAGUUAAAUGUGUUCCGCUUACAUAAAACGUUACAAAUUAUUGAGGAUUUAAUUACUUAUUCAUGUUCCUGUAAUGUCUUUAGAAGAUUUUCUUAUUAUUACCUAUCAAUAUAUGUAUGCUUUGUCAAAGAAAAAUCAAACAUAUAUAUCAUUGAAAUUGAAACUUUUUAAAAGUACUUAUUAAUUCUAUUGAAAAACCACAUCCAUAGGAACAAUUACAAUAUAAUAUUGUGAACAUGUAAACAUAUACCCUAUGUCUAUUUUAUGUAUAAGCAUGUAUGAUUAAAAAUAUAGUGAAGAAUUUUUAAACCUAGUAUUAUAAAGUAAAAAUUAGUUAACUUCCGAUGAUUAUUUGUUAAUUAAGAUAAAAUUAUUUUGAUUUGGGUGAUUUUAAAUAAAGAAAAAUAUUAAAUUACAUGACAAAAAUUCUUUAUAAAAUGUUUAUGAUUUUUACAUUGGUUUUAUCACUUUUCCCACUAUUUUAUUUUAAGAUGACCUGCCUUGUUUAAAACACUGUAUUCAUCUUAGUUAAAUUAGAUUCCAUUUGUAAAAUAAUUAACAAAUGAUUUGCUCUAUUGUACAGUGCGGUUAUAAACUGAGUCAGUAUCUCAAGAUUUGAUCCCCAUUAUCAUCAUCUGUGGCCCUAUUUGUUUUAUAAAUGUAUUGUCUUUUUCCAUGCCUGUCACAUCUCUAUUGCUCUUUCAUUUUUCUCUUUGUCCCUUAUAGGGAGCAUUGCCUAUCUCUAGAUUAAGCAAAAGUUGCAUCAUAAAAAAGCACAAUAACCUGCUCAAUCUUUCUCACACAGAGAAAUGUUUGUUAAGUAAUUAAAGUGUAGAUGAUGAUACAAAGAGCUUGAUUAAAUUAGAUGCCAAAGUACCCUUGUGAUUCAGAAUAUGAAUGGUAUUUAAUUUCUUUGAAAUCAUUAAUUGCUGAGUGAGAUUAAUUAAUGCCAAUAUUCCAGAAGAUGUUCCAGUCAGUAAAAUGUAUACAACGUGCAAAAGAUUCAGAACUCUGAAGGGCAACAUUAUUCUAUAAUUAAGAAUUAAGAAUUAAUUCACAUUAAUUACUGGGGAGAAAUACUUUUUAAGAAUUAAUGACUGAGAAAAUGUUUUUAUUUUUUAUUUAGAAAAUUAUUUUGUGCAUGAGCAUUACCGCAAGUUUUGCAAGAAACAUAAAUUUAAAGAAACAAUUAUGUGCACAAGAUGAAUUUAAUAACAUCUUGAUAUAUUCCACGAUUGCGGUUUUAUUUGGUAAAUCUUUCAAGGCACACCAUUUAAAGAGAAUAAAUGAGUCUUGGAAAUCUUGUAGGUAAGGGUAAAUAUUAGGAUGCAUCCAGUUACAUUUACACACACAUACAGUUACAUUUACACACACAUACACGCAUACAGACUGAGUCACGUGUGUGUAUAUAUAUAUAUGAAUUUACCAAUUGAUGUUAACUAAUAUUUAUAAGAGCCAGUUGGAUUGAUAUAUAUUGUUGAACCUGAAAAAUAUUUAUUAUAUACAUGUUUAAAAUACAGAAAUAAAUAGCAAUUGCACUAGGCAUUUGAAACUGUACUAAAAUAUAAGCUGUGAACAUUUUGUGAUCAUUACAAAUUCUUACACUGAAUAAAUAUUUUUAUUUUUACAAUAUUAA